ACUCAAAGGAAUUGACGGGGACCCGCACAAGCAGUGGAGUAUGUGGUUUAAUUCGACGCAACGCGAAGAACCUUACCAGGACUUGACAUCCACGGGAUCUGUGUGAAAGCACGGAGUGUCCUUCGGGAAGCCGUGAGACAGGUGGUGCAUGGUUGUCGUCAGCUCGUGUCGUGAGAUGUUGGGUUAAGUCCCGCAACGAGCGCAACCCUUGCUUUCAGUUACUACGCGAAGAGGACUCUGGAGGGACUGCCGUUGAUAAAACGGAGGAAGGUGGGGACGACGUCAAAUCAUCAUGCCCUUUAUGUUCUGGGCUACACACGUACUACAAUGGCCGCAACAACGGGAAGCGAAGCUGCGAAGCGGAGCGAAGCCCUGAAAAGCGGUCUCAGUUCGGAUUGCAGGCUGCAACUCGCCUGCAUGAAGUCGGAAUUGCUAGUAAUCGCGGAUCAUCAUGCCGCGGUGAAUACGUUCCCGGGUCUUGUACACACCGCCCGU
This 495-nucleotide ribosomal RNA is filed under the name uncultured bacterium. RNAcentral's name for it is "bacterial SSU rRNA". It matches the Rfam family "Bacterial small subunit ribosomal RNA", at positions 899 to 1397 of the family's 1533-position model. The record is from RNAcentral.